Molecule: unclassified non-coding RNA, 409 nt
Filed under: Hevea brasiliensis (rubber tree)
Lineage: Eukaryota; Viridiplantae; Streptophyta; Magnoliopsida; Malpighiales; Euphorbiaceae
Source: RNAcentral
GUCUAACUGGAGCCUCCAUAUGUCCUUAGCUAGAUGCAGAUGCUCCAGAAAACAUACUUCAUAAACAAUUGUAUGAUAGUGCAACUAAAAUCAUCACUCUUCCCAUUUUAACCCAAGAAAUGUGUCUUAGCUUCCUCCAAAAUAAUUUGUUUCAAAUUCACAUUUACCAUAGAUCUAAAGAUUGCUCACAGAUCAGUUAAUAUUCUUGCAUAUAAUUUUCCAGUUGAAGGCUCUUAGGAUUCCUACCAUUGAUUGAAUCAUGGAUUCACUACAUUUAUGCAUGCAUUAGAAUAAGUGCAAGAAGAUUCUUCACAUUUAUGUAUUCUGUUUUAUGGGACAGUUAUUCAUACAUCAACUGACUAACUAUAUAGCCCUCUUUUAGUCUAAGAUAAAGCAGGUUAUAUGGAUU